Molecule: ribosomal RNA, 623 nt
Filed under: uncultured bacterium
Lineage: Bacteria
Description: bacterial SSU rRNA
Rfam family: Bacterial small subunit ribosomal RNA
Source: RNAcentral
UACCGCGUGUGUGAAGAAGGCCUGAGGGUUGUAAAGCACUUUCAAUAGGGAGGAAAAAGCGUUGGUUAAUAGCUGAUGCCUUGACAUUACCUAUAGAAGAAGCACCGGCUAACUCCGUGCCAGCAGCCGCGGUAAUACGGAGGGUGCGAGCGUUAAUCGGAAUUACUGGGCGUAAAGCGUGCGUAGGUGGCUGUUUAAGUCAGAUGUGAAAGCCCCGGGCUUAACCUGGGAACGGCAUUUGAUACUGGGCAGCUAGAGUUUAGGAGAGGAGAGUGGAAUUUCCGGUGUAGCGGUGAAAUGCGUAGAGAUCGGAAGGAACACCAGUGGCGAAGGCGGCUCUCUGGCCUAAAACUGACGCUGAGGUACGAAAGCGUGGGUAGCAAACAGGAUUAGAUACCCUGGUAGUCCACGCCGUAAACGAUGUCAACUAGCCGUUGGGUCUUUAUUAAGACUUAGUGGUGCAGCUAACGCAUUAAGUUGACCGCCUGGGGAGUACGGCCGCAAGGUUAAAACUCAAAUGAAUUGACGGGGGCCCGCACAAGCGGUGGAGCAUGUGGUUUAAUUCGAUGCAACGCGAAGAACCUUACCUACCCUUGACAUCCAGAGAAUCUGUGAGAGAUCGU